GAUUUCUGGUUUGGCAUGCCUGGCCCGCCACGGUUACGUGUGUGAGUGCCGGUGCGUGCCUGCCAUCCUUCUGGAAAACGCGUCUACCCUUCACUGGGCCGGGCGCGCGAUCCAGAUCAUUUACUUUGAAAAAAUUAGAGUGUUUAAAGCAGGCUUUUUGCUAUGAAUACAUUAGCAUGGAAUAAUAAUUUAGGACUUUGGCCCUAUUUUGUUGGUUUCUAGGACUGAAGUAAUGAUUGAUAGGGAUAGUUGGGGGUGCUCGAAUUCAGCGGCCAGAGGUGAAAUUCUUGGAUUCGCUGAAGACGAACUCAUGCGAAAGCAUU
RNAcentral lists this ribosomal RNA (323 nucleotides) under uncultured Cercozoa. RNAcentral's name for it is "SSU rRNA". The stretch from base 110 to 323 matches the Rfam family "Eukaryotic small subunit ribosomal RNA", at positions 741 to 955 of the family's 1831-position model. The record is from RNAcentral. Lineage: Eukaryota; Cercozoa.